This 496-nucleotide ribosomal RNA is filed under the name uncultured bacterium. Its description in RNAcentral is "partial 16S ribosomal RNA". It matches the Rfam family "Bacterial small subunit ribosomal RNA", at positions 28 to 507 of the family's 1533-position model. The record is from RNAcentral.
GAUGAACGCUGGCGGCGUGCCUAAUACAUGCAAGUCGAGCGAACAGACGAGGAGCUUGCUCCUCUGACGUUAGCGGCGGACGGGUGAGUAACACGUGGAUAACCUACUUAUAAGACUGGGAUAACUUCGGGAAACCGGAGCUAAUACCGGAUAAUAUAUUGAACCGCAUGGUUCAAUAGUGAAAGACGGUUGUGCUGUCACUUAUAGAUGGAUCCGCGCCGCAUUAGCUAGUUGGUAAGGUAACGGCUUAUCAAGGCAACGAUGCGUAGCCGACCUGAGAGGGGGUUGGCCCACUGUGGGGCUGAGCCGCGGUCCAGGGUCCGAGGGACGGCACCGAUUGGUAUGCUACGGAGAAGGGGGGAACCCUGCAGAAGGACCGGAGGGGUGAUGAAGAAGGUCUGCGGGUGGUAAAACGUUUUUUUUGGGGAAAAACAAUUUUGUAAGUAACUAAGCGUGUUUUGCCGUAACCGGUAAAGAAGCCCCGGGUAACUUCGUG